GAUGAAACAGACGGGACCAACUCCCACUUCGCAUCCCAAAAGGACUGGAAGUUCCUCACGCUGCCCAUCAUCAUGGUGGUAGCAUUCGCCAUGUGUAUCAUCUGCCUCCUCAUGGCUGGUGACACGUGACUGAGACCCUGG
Salvelinus sp. IW2-2015 is the source of this 141-nucleotide non-coding RNA. NCBI's taxonomy places the organism in Eukaryota, Metazoa, Chordata, Actinopteri, Salmoniformes, Salmonidae. The record is from RefSeq and is a predicted model, not a curated record.